This is a long non-coding RNA of Acanthopagrus latus (yellowfin seabream), 1892 nucleotides long. RefSeq lists it as uncharacterized. The transcript is spliced from 3 exons. The record is from RefSeq and is a predicted model, not a curated record. NCBI's taxonomy places the organism in Eukaryota, Metazoa, Chordata, Actinopteri, Spariformes, Sparidae.
CAGAAGGACGGGACAACUAACAAGAGAGAUGGUCUCUAAUAACAGAGGCGACGGACACAGCAGCAGUGUUGGAACUGAGCGGGGAGGGCAAGUAUGAAGAGUGUCAGCAGAUUUUCUCCAGCACAGAGUUCAUGGAGAGUUGAAGAGUUCACAGAACUAGGGAGCAAAAGAGCGCUACAGAGGGCAAAGUGGAGAAGGUGUGAAACCAUUAACCCAUCAGUUCACUCUUCCAACUGUCAGUCAACCUGAAUGAGGAGCAGUCACUGACAGCUCUGCAGCUGGUUCCUCUCCAAUGACAAGUUGAGCCUGUUCCUUGAAAGGAAAUAAAAAACCAUGACCUCAUUCUGUUUCCUGUGCGAUUUAAUAAAGGCGAUUUUACGCUGCCAAAUGUGGAAAAGAUGCCCUUCAUUAGAACAAUGCGUACUCUGCGUGUCCAUACUUUAAUCCAAUCUAGUUUAGCAUGAUAAAGGGCAUUACUGCCAGACAGCGCAACUGCCCACCCACUCAUGAUGUGUGCCUGUAUUUGCAGACAGCGACAUAAAGAGAAUAUAGCACCCCAAGGGGUUCAUGGGUAGAUAAUGCACCAACCCAACAUUCAGGGUCAGGAGUACUGGAGGUUUAUUCUACCAUACUCAAACUACGUCACAUCUAUUGACAUUUAAAUUUGUCAUACACAAGGCUAGUGUCAGACCACUGAGGUAAGUGCGUUAAGUCCGGCCCUUGAUGUAAGCAGCACAAAAGAUCAGAUCUACAACAGAAAAAUGGGCUUGGUUUCUUUCUCUGAUCAAUAAGUAUUAAUCUGUGUCAUGUUUAUAAUAUGUGUGAAAGCAAAAUGAAAAUAUACUUUGGAGUGCAAAGCUUUAAUACUUGGAAUACAUCCAUGAAAAAGUGCCAUGUGUAUUCUUAUAUCACAAAACAAGGCAGGAACAUUUUAUUUCUCAAGUUUGAUAGACCAAGAUAAACACAAAACAUACCAUGUCUAUCUAAUGGAAGGAUCUUUUCUUUACAUCUAAAUGAACAAAGAUGCCUUGCUUGAAGGAAAAAUGGCCUCCGGUUGACUGCAAACGGUCAUUAAUUAGCUCUGUUAAACUGUUAUUUGAAUUAAAGAUAGAGUGAAAAUUUUUAUGAGCCAGAUUUCAUUAGUGUCUCAAAAGAGCUCCAAGCUGCUUUUUUGUGUUUGAGAAAGAAAAGAAGAGAGCUUCUCCUUAACCUGAUAAAUGGUUCAGGUACUGAAUUAGCAGACCAUCUUUAAUGCACUUGUCAGGCUGCAAAAUGCAAAGAGAUUUCAAGAUGAGCGAGGAAUCUAUUUUUGUGGCACUCCAUUCAGAUGAGUGUUAGCUGCCGAGAGCUGUCAUUGACUUAAAAGGACGCCAAAACGGGUUUGCUUUGUGUAUGUGUCUACACAUGUGUUAACAGUGACUCAUUCUGAAUCACACUUUGAAACAUUGCCACUUCAUUUUCAGGUUUGUAUGUGAAUGAAGAAGUGUGUCAACAUGCUUGUGUGUUCAUACAGGCGGUGGAGAUCUGAAACACUCCUGCACUCAGGAACAAAACAAGUGCCUAAAGAAGUGACAGUCAGGCUGAAUAGAGUCAAGCAAAUCCUCAGACAAGAGGACAUGAAUUGAUGUGCUUUCCACGUUGUCAGGUUGGGCUGAGGACCAACUGAGACAGAUGGGGAGGAAACCAUCAUACUAGACAGGGGACACCGGCAUACUAGCACCUCCAUUACAUCUUUAACAGGUGCUGAACAAAAAGUUAGAGCAUAGUGUUAGAUAUAAAAAAGCCUGCAUUUUCAUGUGAUCAGAUACAGUUUUCAGAUUAAACUCUUCUGAUGCAUGCCCUGUAGAUGUGCUAUUAUUCCACAUGGCUGGCUAUUCUGCCCUUACUCCCCU